Acanthosepion pharaonis is the source of this 113-nucleotide non-coding RNA. Lineage: Eukaryota; Metazoa; Mollusca; Cephalopoda; Sepiida; Sepiidae. The record is from the annotation of a GenBank genome assembly.
UUAUGGCCAUAUCACAUUGAAACACUGUUUCUCGUACGAUCACUAAAGUUAAGAAACAUCUAACCUGGUCAGUACCUAGAUGGGUGACCGCUUGGGAAAACCACGUGUUGUAA